GCCCAAUUUAAGUACCUGCAUAUAAUCUAAAGGAACGUGAAUAUCCAAUCUAAAAUCAAGAGAUUUUGCUUUGGUGACAUGAAAAAAGGUAAGAUGCUGUGCUGACCCCUGAACAAACUAGAGAUUGGUAUAUUUAACUCUUAGAACUUCUAUCCUAGUAGGAAUUUGAAAUAAAAUAUUGAGAAAUUAAAAUAUGUACAUUACUAAUGGUAUAGUCUGUGUGAUUCAGGGGCAAAUCAAGCCAAAAGGCAAAACAGUUUCUCUUCUUGCCUUAGUCCCUCUCUUCCUACAAAAUACACCUCAUAAAAAAGAGCAGUGACACAAAAACUUGCUGUGGAAUCACAGGUGUGGCACAGACACUCUUGGUUCUGCCUUCCAUGGGUUAGAACAAAUGUCAUUGUUUGCAUUGUGACAUCAGCUGUGAUCAGUUCCUCUGACAGCAUCAUUUCAUACCACAAAAUCAAGUGAUUAUGUUGGAUAAAUCUCUGUACAACCCCGGCAGCAAAAGGCAUAAGAAUUGAGAUUGGGGGGAAGGGAGUCUUAAUUUGAUUAAGCAAAGCAGCUGUUUUGUUAUAAUAUCGCUACACAUUCCUUUUUUCUGUCUUCCCUCACUCAUUCUUCUUUGAGGAUCACCUCAGAAAGGCUUUAUGUACUGAAAAUUCAAUCUUUAUUAUUUUUAACCUGUCUCAUACUGCAUUCAUACAUCAGACAGAGUGGGGAGAACAGUCAUGGCCAGCACCCAGACAGGGCAGAGACACCUCAGGCUCCAGUAAAGGUGUGGAACACAAGCUGUGUGUGUGUGCACCCCUGUCCCAGCAGGACAAGCUCAGGGGAGCUGACAGCAGCAUUUACUCUUCCAAGGCAGCCCCAGGAGCUUCAGGGAUGGCCAUGGCAGAAGACUGGAGUGGGACAGGAGCAGCAGGGGAACCUGAGCUCCUCAGCACACUGCAGAGUGAUGGAAAUGCUCCUUGUACACAGGAUCCCAGCUUUGUCCUGCAGAAUUCAGCUGGCAGAAAUACUGCAGCUCAUUUUUAAAAAGAGAGAGGGAGAGAAUAAAUAAAAAAGGAGGCAUGAUAAACUCAGGACCUGUGCAGAUAAAAAGCUUCCAGCCAUUCAGGUGCUGAUAAAACUGAAAGACCAAUGGACAGUUGUGUAUCUGUCCCCACUUCCCAC
Molecule: long non-coding RNA, 1173 nt
Filed under: Cyanistes caeruleus (blue tit)
Lineage: Eukaryota; Metazoa; Chordata; Aves; Passeriformes; Paridae
Description: lncRNA (ENSCCEG00000004043.1)
Source: RNAcentral